GACGAACGCUGGCGGCGUGCCUAAUACAUGCAAGUCGAACGAACUCUGGUAUUGAUUGGUGCUUGCAUCAUGAUUUACAUUUGAGUGAGUGGCGAACUGGUGAGUAACACGUGGGAAACCUGCCCAGAAGCGGGGGAUAACACCUGGAAACAGAUGCUAAUACCGCAUAACAACUUGGACCGCAUGGUCCGAGUUUGAAAGAUGGCUUCGGCUAUCACUUUUGGAUGGUCCCGCGGCGUAUUAGCUAGAUGGUGGGGUAACGGCUCACCAUGGCAAUGAUACGUAGCCGACCUGAGAGGGUAAUCGGCCACAUUGGGACUGAGACACGGCCCAAACUCCUACGGGAGGCAGCAGUAGGGAAUCUUCCACAAUGGACGAAAGUCUGAUGGAGCAACGCCGCGUGAGUGAAGAAGGGUUUCGGCUCGUAAAACUCUGUUGUUAAAGAAGAACAUAUCUGAGAGUAACUGUUCAGGUAUUGACGGUAUUUAACCAGAAAGCCACGGCUAACUACGUGCCAGCAGCCGCGGUAAUACGUAGGUGGCAAGCGUUGUCCGGAUUUAUUGGGCGUAAAGCGAGCGCAGGCGGUUUUUUAAGUCUGAUGUGAAAGCCUUCGGCUCAACCGAAGAAGUGCAUCGGAAACUGGGAAACUUGAGUGCAGAAGAGGACAGUGGAACUCCAUGUGUAGCGGUGAAAUGCGUAGAUAUAUGGAAGAACACCAGUGGCGAAGGCGGCUGUCUGGUCUGUAACUGACGCUGAGGCUCGAAAGUAUGGGUAGCAAACAGGAUUAGAUACCCUGGUAGUCCAUACCGUAAACGAUGAAUGCUAAGUGUUGGAGGGUUUCCGCCCUUCAGUGCUGCAGCUAACGCAUUAAGCAUUCCGCCUGGGGAGUACGGCCGCAAGGCUGAAACUCAAAGGAAUUGACGGGGGCCCGCACAAGCGGUGGAGCAUGUGGUUUAAUUCGAAGCUACGCGAAGAACCUUACCAGGUCUUGACAUACUAUGCAAAUCUAAGAGAUUAGACGUUCCCUUCGGGGACAUGGAUACAGGUGGUGCAUGGUUGUCGUCAGCUCGUGUCGUGAGAUGUUGGGUUAAGUCCCGCAACGAGCGCAACCCUUAUUAUCAGUUGCCAGCAUUAAGUUGGGCACUCUGGUGAGACUGCCGGUGACAAACCGGAGGAAGGUGGGGAUGACGUCAAAUCAUCAUGCCCCUUAUGACCUGGGCUACACACGUGCUACAAUGGAUGGUACAACGAGUUGCGAACUCGCGAGAGUAAGCUAAUCUCUUAAAGCCAUUCUCAGUUCGGAUUGUAGGCUGCAACUCGCCUACAUGAAGUCGGAAUCGCUAGUAAUCGCGGAUCAGCAUGCCGCGGUGAAUACGUUCCCGGGCCUUGUACACACCGCCCGUCACACCAUGAGAGUUUGUAACACCCAAAGUCGGUGGGGUAACCUUUUAGGAACCAGCCGCCUAAGGUGGGACAGAUGAUUAGGGUGAAGUCGUAACAAGGU
RNAcentral lists this ribosomal RNA (1504 nucleotides) under Lactiplantibacillus pentosus. RNAcentral's name for it is "bacterial SSU rRNA". It matches the Rfam family "Bacterial small subunit ribosomal RNA". Lineage: Bacteria; Bacillati; Bacillota; Bacilli; Lactobacillales; Lactobacillaceae. The record is from RNAcentral.